This is a long non-coding RNA of Columba livia (rock pigeon), 2469 nucleotides long. RefSeq lists it as uncharacterized. NCBI's taxonomy places the organism in Eukaryota, Metazoa, Chordata, Aves, Columbiformes, Columbidae. The record is from RefSeq and is a predicted model, not a curated record. The transcript has 5 exons.
AUUCACCACAAACUGUCAAGUAGAUGAAUGUUUCAUUUAGAUGGAAUUUAAGAUUUCACCCAGCAAGAAUCUACAAAUGCUUAUAGUGAGCCACAGUCUGAGAAAGGAAAAUCUAUUCUCCUUUUACUGGCAUGGUAUUAAAUUCUUCUCUUUUUCACUGUGAAGCCAUCUCAACCUUAAAUGGCACCACAUUUGACCUUUCUUGUUGCCAGUACUGGAAGAACCUUUCUAGACCAUGGACGUUAUUCAGCUUUGCAAUCCUGCAACUUCAUCAGCCAGUGAUUCUCCUUUUUUAAAUUGUCAUAUAUUUGCAGAAUGCUGCUUUUGUGUCAGUUCAAUUUUUAUAUGAAGGCUACAUUUAAGAAUUCCUCUCCUUGAUUACUUUUCUUUCCCCCCCUCCCCAUACUCUGUCCCUCCAAAACCAACCUCAGAUCAGAUCAUUUAUUCAGUCUAUGAAGUGGUGCCACAAACAGCUGCCUUAAAGCUUCUGAGCAGGCUGCAAACUGAGAUGAAGACUGGGAACAAGCAGCUGCAGAGAAGAUGGGCCAGGAAAUUCUAGGUCAUUGUGGCUACCAUACACUUCACAUCCUAGGACUAUGGCAAGAGGGACAUAAGCAUAAAUCCUCUGCUUCAGCUCUCCACUCAACCCUGGGACAGCUGCAGGUGACCUUCUCUCUUCCAGACACCAAAAUGUUUCUGGGAAUCGUUUUCCUAUAGCUACUUCACCUUGCUCAGGAUUUACAGCAGCAACGGUUGGGACACACCAGAGCCCUGUUAUUCCAUCUUCUAAAAUGUCUUCAGCUGAUCAAAAUUAUUCAUUAGCAACUUUUUCCCAAUAAUUUCCCUUCAAGUGAGAGAUGAAGUUCCCUUUGCCUGGCCAUUGCUCAUUGGCAGUAACAAACUCUCUUUUUCAUGCAGAUCACUAAUUACAGAGCAGACUGCUCACCAGUUUGAGGAACAAACAGUAAGUAAAGGAAUGGGGAAGCCUACGUGUGUGACAGCUGCAGCUGAGUUCUUAAAGAAGUGGUGUGAAUGUCUUCCUCAGCUUCAUGUCCUUGGUUUGAAUCACAUGGUGGGUGCCAACAAAUGAGAGUUAAAAAAGCUUUCCAGCCUGAACACGUGUAGCUGAAGCUGCCUGAGAUAGCUGACGUCAGCUUUUUUACUUCUAUGCUGAUGAGCUAAUGCAUGACAGCAAAACAUUGUAUGCACUAAAGAAAUGCAGGUAAGACCACAGGCUCUUGUUUUGUCUGUGAAACAGACGACAUACUCAACCUAUUCAUUAACAUGAAUCAAUGGAUUACAUAGUUCCCAUACAUUUAUGCUAAUAUAUACUCAUUUCUAGUGUUACAUCCCUGGUUUUGCUUUCAGCAUAAUAACAUUAUUUUUUUUACAGGAAGUUUUACUUUUCUUAUCCUAUUCCCAGACUCCUAUCCAUAGAUCUUUUCUCUCUAUCCACAGAGACAGAGAGGAACUUGGAGUAAAAAUAGUUAGAGGAGAGAAAAAUAGAGUUAGGGAGGGAUGGGAAAGCUGAUUUUGCCAAAUUUAGACCCUAUCAAAACCCCUUGGGUUCUGUAUUGCAAAACAGAGCUGGAAGCUUUUGGAUAUUGCUCUGGUCUGCUGUUUGCUACUCUUUUUCCCUUUUUUCUUUUUUUUUUUUCUUUUUUUUUUAAUAUUUCUCUGGUAUAACCCUGGAAACAGAGCAAGGCUUGCCUAAACUCUGCUUACUAGAACAAGUUAACAUGAAGAAAGAAUAUAUACCCAAAGCUGGAAAACGGAGAGAAGUAAAAUGGUUUCUUUGUUUGGAAAACUAAGGGAUCCUAACUGGUCUUUAGUGUGCUGAGAUAAAUUUCAGUCCUUAAAAGACUUUUACUCAAGAAAUAGCCAUUACUCUGCAGUCCAACUGUGAACUGAAGAUAGAGAAAUACAGGAGAAGACCCUAGAACUAGUUCUUAUUCAAACAGAUAGCUUCAUCUGCUUCACAGGUGAAAGAAUGAUCAAGGUUGCAUAAGACUUUACUUUCUCUUUCUACACAGAAUUUGGAGGAGUGAUGUGCCAAAGAACAGUGCUAUAAAAAUAUAUUUCUUCUGUGAAAAAUGUCAAAGAAUAACAAAUUAUAUUAUAUCAUUACUACCUUCCUUUCCUGACAGCUUAACUUCAAGAGAAAAGGAUUUAAAGCAGAAAUAAGACUUUUGAAAAUAUUAGUUAGCCUGCACAUCCCAGAAAAAAGAAUAUAGGUGUGGAACAAAUUUUUAAGCUCACUCUGUAAUCCAGGAUAAUAUGUAGUCAUAGCUCCCCAGGUGAAUCCUGAUCAGGAGUCAUAAGAAGUAACAGGUUGGAUUGUCCUUUUUUUGCUCCAGCUGGAAAGGAAUUGGCCAGCUGGAGAACCUGUGUUGGCACACACCUACCUUGAAUGGCUUUUUACAAGGACACUGAUUUAUGCAUGACUGCAAAGUUGUAAAGAAUUUCACC